UUGUCCUUAUGGCUGGGGGUGGUCGUGGAAGCAAGCGACAGCGCUCCAAAGCUAAAAGGCCGAUUGAGUAUCAACCGGAUGAUGAAGAGAGCGAAUAUGUUCCCGGCGACGAUUCUGAGGAGGAUGAGCCGGAUUGGGAGGCUUUUGUUCCCGAGGUAUUAGCUAAGGAUAAGGAUACAGGGAAGUGCAAGGGAAAAGGAAAAGCUGUGGAUAAAGGCAAA
Molecule: long non-coding RNA, 221 nt
Filed under: Ananas comosus (pineapple)
Lineage: Eukaryota; Viridiplantae; Streptophyta; Magnoliopsida; Poales; Bromeliaceae
Description: long non-coding RNA (ACOM_LNC040777)
Source: RNAcentral